CAGUUCCUUUCCAUCACUGUUGGUUCCCUGUGUAUUUUUCUUUAUUGCACUCUGUAUAGCCUUCACUUCUUCUUCUAUUUCGCAUCUGUACUCAAAUCAUUUCUGUGAGCAUGCUGAUUACCAGUGUUUUGAACUCUACCUCUGAUAGGUUGGCUAUCUCCAUGUCACUUAGUUCUUUUUCUGGAGUUUUGACCUGUUCUUUCAUUUGGGCCGUAUUUUUUGUCUGGGUGAGCCUGUCACAUAGUAAAGGACAGAACCUUAGGUGUUCAC
This is a long non-coding RNA of Phyllostomus discolor (pale spear-nosed bat), 270 nucleotides long. RefSeq lists it as uncharacterized. The record is from RefSeq and is a predicted model, not a curated record. The transcript has 3 exons. NCBI's taxonomy places the organism in Eukaryota, Metazoa, Chordata, Mammalia, Chiroptera, Phyllostomidae.